This is a long non-coding RNA of Capsella rubella, 1386 nucleotides long. RefSeq lists it as uncharacterized. Lineage: Eukaryota; Viridiplantae; Streptophyta; Magnoliopsida; Brassicales; Brassicaceae. The transcript is spliced from 5 exons. The record is from RefSeq and is a predicted model, not a curated record.
UCCAAAACAAAAUUCAUCUCUCUUUCUUCUUCUUUUAGUUUAUCUUUCUAAUAGCUAGUUUCUUCUGGAGCGAACAAGCUCUGCGAGUCUCUUAAGAUGGCCGCUGUUCUCGAGACUAUGAAGGCGAGCGAUGAUCCAUGUAUAUGUAUUGUGCAGGUCUGCUUCCCUAUCUUCCAUUGUCCAUGUACAUAUUCAUAUAUCUCCAUUGAGAUAACCCAGAUUGUGUUUGGUUUUACAAUUUCCGCAGACUUGUAUUAACGUCGUUUAUGGUAUGGAUUCUCUUUAUGAAGGCUUUGUUUGUUUAUGAAGCCUUUCUUCUUACUUUAUUUAUAUAAUAUUGUACUCUCUUUUUGUGGUGUUUGCUGGAAUGAGAGGGAUGACUGGAUUACUCUGGGAAACCUCAUUACUUGAUGCAGAUGAGGGUAUACGCUUUAGGGGCAUGUCGUUUCUUGAAUGCCAGAAAGUAUUACCUUCACCUCAAUCUAGAGUAGAGCCCUUGCCUUGCUGUGGCUUUUAUUAACCGGAAAGGUUCCAAGCAAAGAGCAAGUAGAGGCGUUGUCAAAAGAGUUGGCUCAUUUGUGCGGCUGUGCCAGGUUUGUAGUUCAUGUGUAUGCUCUGUUUUUUUUGUGACCUCUAGUUUCAUGACUCAUCAAAUCUUAGCAAAAUUAGUCGAUUGAAAAUAUAAACUGAAUACUAGUUGUCAUUGUUGCAAACAUAAUUCUACUUUGUACUUAAUUUUACACUGCAGAUUAUGUUUAUAAAGCUAUAGAUGCUCUGCCUUCGACGGCUAAUCCAAUGACUCCAUUUGCUAGAAGGUUCAAAGUGAGUUUCUGAAGACAUAUGAAAAGGGUGAUGUUCAUUAGUCAAAGUACGAACUUUACAUAUUUUCAGUUACUUCUUGAUUGCCUUGUAGUAGCAGGCAUCAUAAAAACUGAGUUUUUCCUCGCAAAUUCUGGGAGCCAACCUAUAAGGAUGCCAUAAAAUUGUUUGUUCGUGUCCCUGUUGUAGCUUCAUAUGUUUAUUGGAGGAUGUAAUGGUGACAUCAUUCCAUUGAUUCUUUGGAUUCUUUUACAAAUUUUUCACACAUUGCUGGGAUAUGAUAGUCCUCAGAUGAAAGAGCUCAUGAGACUUUAUGUCACCAUACGAACGAAAGAAAGCAUGAGGCCUUUCAUAACAAAUCCAAAUCUGGUCGGAGAGGACGUGAGAGGUUUGAGUUCCAUGCUGAAAUACAUGACCGCCGUGAGUUUGGAGGUUUCUUCGGAUCUCUCGGGUGUACACCCUACUAUUAAGCAAGAAGAAGGCGCAUGAUCCAGUGCUCUUUUGUUAAUCUUCAGAACUCUUGUAUUCUUUGUUUCGUUUCAUUUUCUGAAUAAAGAACUUUUACAA